CUGCCGCGUCCCUCGAUGGAAGGCAACAGCAGCUCGCUCCACCAAGACAAACACGUCCGCGGCCAGACAUGCUGCAGGGGGUUUACAUUUUAAUGCCUUUGUUGGUUUUCCAAAAUAUGCUUCCAUCUCAUUCUGGAUGGGCUCCCUUCAGGUCCACAAAGCCAGAAACUCGUGGGCGAUCACUUCAUCACGUCAGCCGCUCAUCGGCAGGAUGUGGGCUCUCGACUUCCUGGUUGAGGUUCGAGCCUGUGUGGUGUUGCUAAGCCACCGCGGGUGAACGAGGUAAACCGGAGGUGAUGAAGUUGAGCAGAUGUUCCUGCACCGCUUCCCCUUCACCGCCGGCUGAUGAACAAUAUCGAGCCCGCUGAGCGCGAGCGACCUCGGCUGAACCUGACCCCCGACCGGCUGCUGGUCGCCGCGGUUUCAGCUUUUUGUUUCUACAAGUUACAUUAACCGAAACGCUUCCUCAAAUUCAACUGCCACAGUUUCAGUUGAACCCAGUUGCUCAAGACGAGCUGCGUUUUGCAACAGCAGGACGUUUGCAACAGAGGGAAUAAUGUUCUUACAUCUUCUUACUGCGAUGCCAUUUCUUAGAGAAUCUUCUACAUCUAUAGUCCUGUUAUUAAAACCAGUGUAAAUGGAUCCUCAGUGACACUCACCAGUGUGCAGCACAGAGGAAAGAACCACCACAUGAGGGCCAGAGCCACGAGGAUCAGCAGCACCAGGAAGACGAUCGCCACCGCAAAGCCGUCCGACUGGGGGAGGAAACCACAGUAAUCAGAUUACACGCUCUAAUUAGGUCCUUUUAGUUUUGGAUUCCAGGGACAAAAUCUUUGUGUUUGAUAAACAUCGCAGAACUCAAGUGUUUUUAUAUUUCAUUUCAAAUUAAAAAGUGACGACUGCCA
This is a long non-coding RNA of Hippoglossus stenolepis (Pacific halibut), 905 nucleotides long. RefSeq lists it as uncharacterized. NCBI's taxonomy places the organism in Eukaryota, Metazoa, Chordata, Actinopteri, Pleuronectiformes, Pleuronectidae. The transcript is spliced from 2 exons. The record is from RefSeq and is a predicted model, not a curated record.